ACCUGGCUUCCUGCCCUCAGGUCCUCUCCACCCGGAUCCUGGCCAUGAAGGCCUCGCUCUGCAAGCUGUCGCCCUGCACGGUGACCCGCGUGUGCGACUACCACACCAAGCUCUUCCUCAUCGCCAUCAGCUCCACCCUGAAGUCGCUGCUGCGCCCCCACUUUCUCAACACGCCUGACAAGAGCCCCGGCGACCGGCUGACCGAGAUCUGCACCAAGAUCACCGACGUCACAUUGACAAGGUCAUGAUCAACCUCAAGACGGAGGAAUUUGUGCU
This 276-nucleotide long non-coding RNA is filed under the name Homo sapiens (human). Its description in RNAcentral is "non-protein coding lnc-R3HDM4-3:2". The record is from RNAcentral. Lineage: Eukaryota; Metazoa; Chordata; Mammalia; Primates; Hominidae.